This 924-nucleotide ribosomal RNA is filed under the name Colletotrichum gloeosporioides. RNAcentral's name for it is "eukaryotic LSU rRNA". It matches the Rfam family "Eukaryotic large subunit ribosomal RNA", at positions 23 to 978 of the family's 3401-position model. Lineage: Eukaryota; Fungi; Ascomycota; Sordariomycetes; Glomerellales; Glomerellaceae. The record is from RNAcentral.
ACCCGCUGAACUUAAGCAUAUCAAUAAGCGGAGGAAAAGAAACCAACAGGGAUUGCCUCAGUAACGGCGAGUGAAGCGGCAACAGCUCAAAUUUGAAAUCUGGCCCCAGGCCCGAGUUGUAAUUUGCAGAGGAUGCUUUUGGUGAGGUGCCUUCCAAGUUCCCUAGAACGGGACGCCAGAGAGGGUGAGAGCCCCGUACAGUUGGACACCGAGCCUUUGUAAAGCUCCUUCGACGAGUCGAGUAGUUUGGGAAUGCUGCUCAAAAUGGGAGGUAUAUUUCUUCUAAAGCUAAAUACCGGCCAGAGACCGAUAGCGCACAAGUAGAGUGAUCGAAAGAUGAAAAGCACUUUGAAAAGAGGGUUAAACAGCACGUGAAAUUGUUAAAAGGGAAGCGCUUGUGACCAGACUUGCGUCCGGUGAAUCACCCAGCUCUCGCGGCUGGGGCACUUCGCCGGCUCAGGCCAGCAUCAGCUCGCUGUCGGGGACAAAAGCUUCAGGAACGUAGCUCUCUUCGGGGAGUGUUAUAGCCUGUUGCAUAAUACCCUUCGGCGGGCUGAGGUACGCGCUCCGCAAGGAUGCUGGCAUAAUGGUCAUCAGCGACCCGUCUUGAAACACGGACCAAGGAGUCAACCUUAUGUGCGAGUGUUCGGGUGUCAAACCCCUACGCGUAAUGAAAGUGAACGCAGGUGAGAGCUUCGGCGCAUCAUCGACCGAUCCUGAUGUUCUCGGAUGGAUUUGAGUAAGAGCAUAUAGGGUUGGACCCGAAAGAAGGUGAACUAUGCGUGUGUAGGGUGAAGCCAGAGGAAACUCUGGUGGAGGCUCGCAGCGGUUCUGACGUGCAAAUCGAUCGUCAAACAUGCGCAUGGGGGCGAAAGACUAAUCGAACCUUCUAGUAGCUGGUUUCCGCCGAAGUUUCCCUCAGGA